Molecule: long non-coding RNA, 12089 nt
Filed under: Populus trichocarpa (black cottonwood)
Lineage: Eukaryota; Viridiplantae; Streptophyta; Magnoliopsida; Malpighiales; Salicaceae
Description: long non-coding RNA (PTRI_LNC000845)
Source: RNAcentral
CGGUUCUCGUUCCCAACUCAUUGCUUAGAGCAUUUAGAUUUUGCUGGAAAUAAUUAUGUUGAUUUGUAUGUUAAAGAUAGCUGUGGUGAGCUUCGAGUUAUUCGUUGCCUGAAGAGAAAUGGAGUUUAUGACAAGCCAGUGCUUUCUAUGGGCUGGCUUAAAUUUGUUGCUGAUUAUGGACUGAGAGUUGGUGACAAGGUUGUUCUUCAUCGUGAGGAUGACCAUAACCUGGGGUCACAGUUCAUGAUUGAAGCUAAGAGGAGAAUCAUGCUGCUUGGUGAGGAGGCUUGGGGUGAUGUGACAAGAGCUAACUAGCUAUUAUUUGGAUGUUCGGCCAUAUCCAGAUAUAUAUAGAAGAAUGAAUUUAUGUAUGUGUUUAUGUUUGAGUGUUCGUAGUGAUCAUAAUCAAUGUCAUCUGCGUCAGUCUAAUUAAAUAAAUAUGUUGCUGUUCUUGGUUUCUUGAAAAUGUAUUACGUGCAUGUAAUUCUCAGCAAUAAUGGAUUUAAUUAAUUAUAUAUGAUCAGAUUCUGUCUCUAAUAGUAUGAGUUAUAUAGUAUAUAUGUACUGAUCUCAAAUUCCGUUUCCAGGAGUUUUUUUUUUUUUUUUCCUUCAAGUUUUUACAUUUCCAGGUUUUUCAAUUUUGUUGGUUUAAAUCAUGGGAAAUUCAUUGGUGAUGCUAAGAAACAAAGAUCGUUGUUUCAAAUCCUAUGUUGUCAACUCUUUCUAUUUUAUUUGGAAUGAGUUAUAUAUUUCAUUUCAGUUUAAAAAAUAAAAAAAACUAAGAACGGAUUUUAUCUUGCUUAAAAAAAUAUUAUCUAGUUUUACCAUAUCAAUUAUAUUUCUCGAUCCAACUAUUGAAUCAGGCUGAAAUUAUAUGAGUCUCCAGAUAUAUUGUGAUAUUUCAAGUUAAAAGUUUAGAAAUGCCUUGCAACAUUUUCUGAAUUUUGUUUCUAAAAGUUAUUUUUUUAUGUUUUUUUCAAUUUUAUCAUUUAACAAUAGGUUUAUUAAAACUUAAACUGCAUAAUUUGUUUUGAUUUAUUUUAUUUAUCAUGCAUUUGAAAAGUUAAUUUUUAUUUUUAUUUUUUGCUAUUUUGUGCGCUUUUCAAGUGUCUGAAAAUGAAGAUUUCCAUUGAUUUAAAACCAUAGAGACUCCAUAUAUAUAGUUUUUGAAAUCAUGGGAACUAACUCAUUGGUGAUGCUAAGAAACAAAGAUCGAUGGAUUCAAAUACUAUGGUGUCAAUAUUGAGAUAUAAUCCUAUCGUAACAACAUAUCAUUUAUAAAAUUAUAUUUUCCAAUCUAAUUAUUAGAUUAUGCUAAAAUUUUAUAACAAAUCUCCUAACAUAUUAUGAUACCUCAUGUUAAAAGUUUAGAAAGGCUUGCAAAACUGUCAAUUGCAUUUAUAAUUUUGUUUUGAAAGUUUAUCCUUUUAUCUUUCUUUUUUUUUAGAUUUGAUUAUUUUUCAAUUUUUUAUUUAACAAUAAGUUUAUUAAAAAUUGAGCUAUAUAAUAUUUUUAAUCAAAUUAUAUUUUUAUUAGUUGUAUAAAUUAUGUGCUUUAAAUUAAUAUUUUAAAUUAUAAACAGUUUGGAACGAUAUGUGAAAACGCUAUGAAACUAAAACAUGAAAAAACAGAACACUAACUGGAACGGAUUUGUUUAAACAGAGCAAUUGUAACAUGGACUCCACCAUUAGCCUGUGAACUCAAGAUUCCAACUUCCCCUUUCCUUCCUAGUUUAUGUGAAGUUUGCUUACUCAUUCACAUCAGAGGACAGUUUUCUUUUCUUUAUUUUUCUUUUGUAAAGAAGUUUGAAGCAUCAGGAAACUAGCUCAGUAUUGAAUUGAAACAUGUCUAGUCCUUUAAAAUUCACAGAACGUAACAGGGAUAGUGAGAGUAAUUCAAUAAAGAAGCACUCAAACCAUAUCAUACAUAACUGAGAAGAGAAACUUACUUCGUUCCUCCUCCUCUUUUGAUAAGCCCAGAUGGAGGGAUUCACAGAAGGCAUCAAAAUUGCCCCAAACCUGUAGCAAAACGCAAAGUUGGUUGGCAUACAAUACUCCUGCUAAGGAACUUGAAGAAAGAAAGCGAUUUGGCAUCGCUGCAGCAGCUAGAGAGAUCUUGAAAGAGAUGCUUAGCCUACCUCUUUACAUGUAUCAAAAACAAGAACACCCAAUAUUCCAAUUCUGGUUCACAUCCAAGAUAUUGAAGAGGUCAAUGCUGCGGUCAAUGCAGACGAGAGUGUUGAGGUCAACAGCCAAGUCUCCAUGAUUUGCUUCCUAAUUGGAUCCUCAAAAACAAAGAGCAAAUACCAUGAGAAUAUUCGAAAGCAAUAAUUGAAGGGGCUUAAGCAAAGAUGCCGUUCAUAUAUAUUAAGAGAUUAGGUAAAAAGAAUGGGGAACUACCUGGAACGUAGGACGAGAUUGCGUUUGAAGGAAAAGAAGCGGUAUUAUUUUGACUCACAAUCUUGGAACAAGUACAAAUAAGUCCUUCUCCUUUAUAGUCUGGCUAAUCUACCCCCAAGCUUUGUCUUGCCUUGGCCUUUUGCCCUCUCUCACACUGCAGCUAUAAAUCAUGCUCGUCUUCUGUUUUCGCAGAUACAAAACCCCAGUACUUAUAUUUGGAAUACCAUGAUUAGAGGCUACUCUGAAGCCAAAAUGGGCCAUAGUGGCUUCUUGUUUUUCUGCCAAAUGCUUCAGAAUGGCGCUGAAAUGGACUGUAGGAGCUUUGUUCUUGCGCUCAAAGCGUGCGAGCAGUUUUUGAGAGUUUUAGGAGGGAAAUCAGUUCAUUGUGGUAUUCGAAAGAUGGGUUUUGUUUAUGCUAUGUUGUUUCAAGAUGGGUUGGCUCGUUUUUAUGAUCUGCUGCGUGGUUGUUUGGGUUUUGCUUGACACUUGUUUGAUGGAAUUCCUGCUAGAGAUGGACUUUCUGUCUAUGACUGAUGGAUAUUCUAAGCGUAACUGUUGGGAUGAGACUUCGAAGCUUUUUGACUCGAUGUCAGUGGAGGGCAAUGUAGAGCCCGAAGAGGUCACUAUGAUAGCCGCUCGUUCAGCUUGCUCGCAGAAGGGGGGUUUGAGAUCAGGGAAGAGUUUUCACGAAUAUGUAAGACUAGAAAUGGAAAUCACCAUGAAUGUGAAACGUGGCUGCUUGGAUUCUGCAAGAGGGAUCUUAGAUACCAUUGACCGUUUAUUGUUUUUUUUCACUUAUUAAGACUUACAGUUCUUUUCUAUUAUAUGUAUGUAUAUUUUUAUUUUUUUUCACUUGAAAUUUUUUUAAAUACAAAAAAAUAUUGAAAAAGUCUAUAUAUAAUUUUUUUUGUUAUAUCCAGUAUAAACUAAAAGAGGUGGUGCUUUUAUUGUGCACUACCUUGUAAAAUACUAUUCAUUUCAAUAGUAUUUUUUUGUCUUUUGUUUUCUAAAUAUAUAUUUUUUUUUAAUUUUAUAUUUUAAUAUUUUGUUUAUUGAAAAUUAGGUUUUAUAAUUUAUUGUGGUUUGCUUUAUACGUGGUUAGCUCGAUCUUGUAACCCGUGUCACAGGUUUGGCGGGUUGACUCUAGUUUUAUUUUUCUUUUUUAAUUGAUAAUUUUUUUUCAAUUUCAUCAUUCAACAUUAGGUUGAUUGGAAAUUAGGUUUCAUGAUUUAUUUUGGUUUGCUUGAUAUAAGAUUAUCUCGGUCUCAUUACUUGAGUCGCGGGUUUGGCGGGUUAACCUAGUUAAUUCGAGUUUUUAUUAACUUUUUAUAUUGGAAUUUUUUAUAUUUCAUCCUUCAACAUUUAGUUGAUUAUGAAUUAGGCCUCAUGAAUUAUUUUGGUUUGCUUUCUAUGGGGUUAUCUUGGUCUUAUACUCGGGUCACGUGUUUCGUGGGUUAACCCGGAUAAACUCUUCUUGUUUUGUUGUAUCCUAUUUUUAAAUUUAAUUUUCUUUAUUUUCAACCUUUAACAAUGACAUUAUUGAAAAUUAGGCUUCAUAAUUUUUUUAUUUGCUUUUAACAGAGUUAUCACAGUCUCAUGACCUUGGUCGCGAGUUUGACAGAUUAAUUCAGGUUGACUCAGGUCUUUUUUUUAUUUACUUUCUAUGAGAUUAUCCUGAAUUUUUUUUUUCUAAUUUCAUACUUCAAUACUUAGUUUAUUGGAGAUUAGGAUUCAUAAUUUAUUGUGAUUUGCUUUAUACGUGGUUAGCUCGGACUUAUAACCCGUGUUGCAGGUUUGGCGGGUUACCUCGAGUUUGUUUUCUCUCUUUUUAAUUGACCCCUUUUUUUUCAAUUUAAUCAUUCAACAUCAAGUUGACUGGGAAUUAGACUUCAUGAUUUAUUUUGGUUUGUUUUUUAUGAGGUUCUCUUGGCCUCAUGACUCGAGUCGCGGGUUUGGCGAGUUAACCCUGCUGACUUGAGUUUUUUUUUUUUAACUUUUUGAUUGGCAUUUUUUAUAUUUCAUGAUUCGGCAUUGGUUUGAUUGUGAAUUAGGCUUCAUGAUUUAUUUUGUUUUGCUUUCUAUGAGGUUAUCCAGUCUUAUGCUCGAGUCACGUGUUUUGCGGGUUAACCCAGGUAGACUCAAGUUGUUUCACCGUGUUCUAUUUUUAAAUUGAUUUUUUUUUCAUUUUCAACCUUUAAUAAUGAGUUUAUUAAAAAUUAAGCAUCAUAAUUUAUUUUGAUUUUCUUUUAAUAGGGUUAUCACAAUAUCAUGACCUUCGUCGCAGGUUCGACAUAUUAAUCCGGGUUAAAUCAAGUAAUUUUUUUGUCUACUUUUCAUGAGGUUAUCUUGAUAUGAUGACCCGAAUCACAGGUUUGGCAGGUUAACCUAGAUAAUUUUUUAUUGUUUUUUAAUUAAUUGUUUUCAUUUACAUUCUUCAACAAUGAGUUGAUUGGGAAUUGAGCUUUGUAAUUUGUUUUGAUUUAAUUUUUAUAGAGUUAUCAUGGUCUUAUAAUCUAGGUCGUCGAUUUGACAGAUUAACAUGUGUUAGCCCGAAUCGAUUCAAUAUGUUUUCAUUCUAAUAUUAUUUUAAAAAAAAAAGAUGUUGCCUUGAAUUUUUGUUAAUCAAACAAUGUUUUUACAAGUUGUCUUGGGUUACUUAUAUCCGUCAGGUCGAUCAGGUCACAUCGGCUCAACCUCCACGCGGUUUUAAAAAAUAUUUACUUGAAAAAUAUUAGCAAUGUCUGGAUGUUUCUUUUGUUUGCUAAAAAAAUUGAUCUGACUUGAGGCGUAAAGCAGGUCAACGAUCUAGUCUAUCAACAAAAACUAAUGGAGGGAAAUCAUUGUUCCUCUCCUUGAACGCUACUAUUUAAGUGUUGUUCAUUGGAAAGAAUGUAACCCGUGCCACACCGAGGGUCGGACCAAACUGUUACAAACACUAAAAAAGAAUAUUCAAGCGAUGAUAAUCUGAGACAACCAGGUUAAAUUAACUAAAACACAGCCUGAGAUAUGAGACUGAAAGAAUCAGUAAAAAAAAAAAAAUAGAAAGUUCAAGGCCUAAUAACCUAAUGUCAAAGAUAAAAACAAAAAAAAAGCUUCAAAAAAUACAAUGCCGAAAAAGAAAACCAGAGUCAGCUCGGGUAACUUGACAAACCAACAACCCAUGAUAUGACUUUGGGAUGAAAAAAAGAAUUUCAAAAGGAUGACCUAUGUCGCACCGGACAUCGCAGCAGCCUUAAAAUUUUAUAUUUCAUGGAAAGAAUGGAUUUCUGGCAUCCUAUUCUUUAUUGGGGAACGAUAUUGUUUAAGGAGUCACCACCUAGUAUUAUGGUUACUAGGAACCCUAACUGGUCAACAGAGAUUCUAUGGUUCGGGACUAGUUACGUAAAAGGAAAGAUAUUAUCACCCCUUAAACGUCCUGCCUGUGGCAGACCUCAUUGCUGGUUUUGCCUUAAAUUGCUAAAUAUUUAUUAGAUUAUACUAUUAUAAUUUGCUUAUAAUAUUCCUGACUCUAGCAUCAGUGAAUGUUCAACUACGGAUACUUCUAACUCUGGCGUUAGUAAAUAUUACGUAGCUAUAAAAUAAAUUUAUAUCAAUAUUUUUAUUCCUGACUCUAGCGUCAGUGAAUAAAUAAAAAAAAUAAAUUUAUGUUAUUUUUAUUCAUGCAUACACAUAUUUUUUAUUAUUUUUUAUUUUUUAUUUUUUUUAUUUGAGGCUGGGCCCAGCUCAGCCCAUAUGGGCUGGGCUAGACCCAGCCAGCCCGGCUGGGCAAAGCAACACGCGUGAGCUAAUUCACGCGUGUUGCUCACUGUUCAAGUGAAUUAAAAUUCACUUGAACAGUGCAAUGUGCUAAUUAUUUGGAGAAUGUAGCAAAGCGGGAGGAGAAAGAUUGCUUACCUGAUCUGCUGGAGGCGAUGAAGACGACGGUGAAGUUGAUGUUAGUCUAUGUGUUUUCUGCUUGCGUUUUUCCUUUUGCUUUCCUUGUGAUUCUGUCUGAAUUUAUUCCUCUGUUUCCUUCCCCCCCGAAUUCUCUCCGUUUUUGGUCUCUCUCUCGCUGUAAGCCCCCCCCUGCUCGUCGUCUCCUCUCUUUAUGCUCACGGCUUUCUGUGAAUUUGUUUUGACUGAUCCCUUUCUACUCUGUUUCGUUCUUCGUUUGCCCAAGUUCGUCCUCCCAGUUUUCUUCCUCCGUUCUCUCCUGCCCCUUUUCUUCCCCCCCCCCCCCCCCCCUCCCUUGCUGAGGCCUUUCUCUGGCUUUUAUAAAGCCAGAGAAGGUCUUGUGUCCCGGCCUCCAGAAAUGGCGGGCAUCGUGGAGGCGAGAGAUCGUGGCUUCAGGAAUGGCAUCGUGGGCAUAGUGGCUGUGAUCUGCUGAAUCUUCCCCUGGCCAUGAUCUGCUGAAUUUCACUGUUAAACCGGCUUCCUACGCGCGAAACGAAGGAGACAAUGAACAAUGCUUCCAAAACGGCGUCGUUGUGUCCUUGGGCAUCUGUUUUUCACUUUGGUCCCUAAACAGUUUAAACUUAACAAUUGGGAUCCUAAUCAGUAAUAAUUGAUUUCUUGUGCCCUUGGGUUAAUUUCAAUUAAAUCCCUGAAUUUAUUUAAUUAAUUAAAUCAAAGUUUAAUUAAGUCCACAAACUUAUUAAUUCUUCUGAUUUCAUUUAAUUAAACUAAUCCAAAUUUUAAUUAAAUUUCCAAACUUAUUAAUUCUUUAAUUUCUGACCAAUUUACUCUCAAAUCUGAUAAUUUCAUCCCUGAACUUCGAAUUUGUGUUGUUUUAACCCCAUUCUCAAAUAUAUUUUUAUCCAUUUAUUUUUUUUAUUCAAAAAUUGGGUUAUGACAACCUAGUAAAAAAAAACCAAAGUUUGAUGAUAAAAUGUCAAAAAAAACUUGAGUCAAUCAUAGUUAACUUACCAACCUGCUAUCGGAAUAACCAAACACUAAGAAAAGUGAAAAAAUAAAAAAGCUCAAGGGCAAAUAAUUUAAUGUAAAAUGAUAAAAUUAAAAAAAAAAGCAUAAAAAAAUUCAAGGGAAAAAAUCCUAGUCAAUCUAGGUUAACUUGACUAACCCAUCACACACGACAUGAGAUAUUGAUGGAAAAAAAAAUCAGACUUCCUAAAAAGGACCAGGCAAAAAAGGUCUAAGUUAAAUAAAAAAACAUUGUGAACAAAAAUGCAAGAUGACCCUAGUUAACUUGAUCAACCCACUCUUGAAAUAACGAAAUAGAAAGAGAAGAAAAAAAAAUAACAAAGCUCAGUGCAAAUAAUUUAAUGCAAAAUGAUAAAAAUAAAAAAUAAAAACAAAGUCAUAAAAAAAUUGGGGAACACCGAGUCAACUCGGGUUACCUCGACUGACCCGCCACUCGCGGCAUGAGAUUAGGAUGAAAAAAAUUAGACUUCCAAAAAAAGAACCUAGCGAAAAAGACUGUAGUUAAAUAAAAAGACAUCGUGUAAGAAAAUGCAAGCUAACCGGGGUUAACUUGAUUAACCUGUACUCGGGAUAACCCAAAAUAAUAAUAAAAAAAGUGAAAAAAUCACUUAGCUCAAUGACCAAUAAUUUAACAACAAUGUAUGAAAUUGUUAAAAAAAUCAAUUUCAUAAAAAAAAUAAAGGGGAAAAAACAUGAGGCAAUCAUGGUUAACUUGACUAAUCUAUUACCUGAAAUAUGAGAUCGAGAUAACUCAAUAAAAAAAAGAAAAAUAAUGAGUUAAGGGCUUAAUAACUAAAUGUCAAAGGAUAAAUUAAAAAAAAAUAUCAUUAAAUACCUGUUGUAACAGUGUCAAAUGUGCAUGGGAUGCACACUUCGGCAGGCUGUCCAAAACAGGGCCUGAGGGUGCUGGCAGCCAUGCCAACAGGGGCAGAAAUUGGCAGCGCAGAUUUGUGCAGCUGUAGGUUCGUCAAAGAAAAAUCGGCAGCGCAGAUUGUUGACGAACAUGGGCUGGACGAUGGACUGUCCAGGCCACGCAGGAAAACUCGUCAGGGGGAUAGGCUGACGAGAACUGGGGCUGUCGAGGAAUUCGGCAGCGAAGACAUUGGCAGCCUGCACGCAGAUGCGAAUUCGGCAGCGCGCAGCAGCUUGUGCAAGUCGUUGGCUCGACUUGGCACGAUCUGAAACUUGGACGAAGGACUGUCCAAGGCAUGUGAGUGACUCAACGGAUGACGCAGCAAGAGCUGGCAGCAGGGGCUGCCAGGUGGGCAUGCAGAACGUGGGUAGUGGCAGUUAUGGAUAUCCAAGAUCAUGUGGGUAGUGGCAGUUAUGGAUAUCCAAGAUCAUGGGAUCAUGGGGGCUGACCAGGGGUUGCUCUCAACCCACUAAAGAUCAUGGGGGGAAAACUUCUCACUACUUGGUAGAUAAUGGGGCCACUAUGUUCAUGGGUGAACAUGGGUGAGAUAGUGUCCCACUACUUCCUUAAAAGUAGGAAUGGGGGGUGUGCCUUGUAAAUGCUUGUCUAUAAAUACUUGUGGUAGCUUUUGGUUGAGGGGGGCGGCAUGUAUGGGCAUGCAGCAGCAUGCGUUGGGAAUGUUCAGCAUGUAGGGGCAUGCAAGAACAUGUAGAGCACUAGUUAGAGGUAGCUUGGUGUAGCAUGCAAUCUUUGUGCAUAGCACACAUACGGAAUUGUGUAUAGUUUCCUUUGUUAACGAGAUCAAUAAAGGUGGGGACAGAGUUCCUAUAAAGCUUGUUGUGCACUUUGAUUCUUAUUCUUACUUGUGUAUUCCGCUUGCUUAGUUACUAGGCAAACACGAGUGGGAUUGGCGAGGGAAGGCUGAGUCUAGCGAGGGACUAGGCUGCCGCACGGGUUUCUUCGCGGAGCGAAAAAUUACCCCGUGACACCUGCCAUGUUGGGAGAUAACUAUAAAAAAAAUAACAAAAUAAAAUAUUUAAAAGGAUGAUCGUAGCAUUAACGGUGAAGCACUUCCAGAUGGAAGUCAAGAGUGAGUUAGAAGGUUUCAGCAGUUGCGUUUGAAGCUUAAGACGGCCAAUAACUGAGCUGGUGUUUCAAGAUUCAGCCGUGUAAAUUGUAAAACUAAUUGUGAUUGGAUAGUAAUUGUCCGUCUAAUUAGUGCACUGAUUAUUGUUUGUAAAAUAGAAAGUUGAAAUAUAAAUAUAAAACGAACAAACAUAUUUCGGAUUACAAGAUAAGUAUGUUUUUUUUUUUUUGGUGUCUAAACCAUCUAUCCUCGGAGUAAAACGUCAUUGCACGCCCAUAGUGCUGACGGUCUCGGUCGAUGGCACAGACACCAUUUAUUCUUUGGGCUUCCGAGCAUUUCAAAUCGAUGCAUGCUGCAGAGAUCGAGCGUAAUUCUAGCAUUAUUAUAUUAUAAAAAAUAUAUUGUGGACCCAGAAUUGGAAAUGACUUCAAAUUAUGCACAGGCAUGGAAGGACUUGCCCUUCAACAAUAUCGUGCACCUUGUUGCUUAUUCGAACAAAAACCUCGCAGAAAUCUCAAGAAAAAAUUUACAAAACCAAAUUCUCAAUCAGCUCAAUAUUAAAAAAAAUUGACAAAUAUAAUUUUGAAAAAUAAAGAAAUAAAAAAACAACAUUUUCUAAAAUCACAAGUGCCAAAAAUAAUGGGAAGGAUGGGCUAGGUAAAAUACAAUUAACUGAUAACAAACCUUAUUUAUUCUUGUAGUUUUUUUAUUAAAUGGGGUCCUUGGCCAUUGCCCAUGUUGCCCAAAAUGCUCUAGCUCACUAAACACUUAGACAAGCAUGCAAGAUCUUCAGCAAGUGUUUGGUUUUCGCAAGUUAGAACGAACGAGGUGCACGAGAGGCAAUACGAGCGUACCUCCCGACUCAUUUAGUCUUUGAAAAAGCGUAGUCAUAAGCCUGCGCUUCUCUUGUUCUAUCUACAAAUAAUCCAUCAAGAUUUAACUAACGCCAUGCGAAAUCGAUCAAAUGAACAAGAUUUCCGAAAUCUCUCGCUCGAUGUCUUUCUACCGUGAAUACAGUAGCUAGCUAGUAUAAAUUAACAAGGUCCUUGCAAGAAACCAUAUCAAUCCAGCAGAUAGCUUAAACAUAACCAUUUCUCUCUUUUUUCACGACCCUUGAGAAAAAAAAUGCAGAUCUUCAGCAAAGUGUUGAGAGAUACUGAUGUCCAUGUUCGGUUCUCGUUCCCAACUCAUUGCUUAGAGCAUUUAGAUUUUGCUGGAAAUAAUUCUGUUGAUUUGUAUGUUAAAGAUAGCUGCGGUGAGCUUCGAGUUAUUCGUUGCCUGAAGAGAAAUGGAGUUUAUGACAAGCCAGUGCUUUCUAUGGGCUGGCUUAAAUUUGUUGAUGAUUAUGGACUGAGAGUUGGUGACAUGGUUGUUCUUCAUCGUGAGGAUGACCAUAACCUGGGGUCACAGUUCAUGAUUGAAGCUAAGAGGAGAAUGAAGCUGUUUGGUGAGGAGGAUUGGGGUGAAGUGACAAGAGAUAACUAGCUAUUAUUUGCAUGGAGCGUGGAUGUUCGGCCAGAUCCAGAUAUAUAUAGAAGAAUCAAUUUCCUAAGUUUGGUGUUUUUGUGUGUGUAAAUUAAACAAAUAUGUUGCUGUUCUUAGUUUCUUGAAUAUGUAUUACGUGCAUGUAAUUCUCAGCAAUAAUGGAUUUAAUUAAUUAUAUGUGAUCAGAUUCUGUCUCUAAUAGUAUGAGUUAUACAGUAUAUAUGUACUGAUCUCAAAUUCCGUUUCCAAGAGUUUUUUUUUUUUUUUUUCCUUCAAGUUUUACAUUUCCAGGUUUUUCAAUUUUGUUGGUUUAAAUCAUUGGUGAUGCUAAGAAACAAACAUCAUUGUUUCCAAUCUUACGGUGUCAAUCAUGGUUGUUAAAAUCAUGUUUUGACUCGUAAAAUUGUAUGAUUUUACAAGUCAAAAUAUACUUUACAUGCUGAAUCGUUUGAAAAAAUAAAAAUAGAUGAAAUCAAAUUGAAAUUGAAUGAAAUCGUUGAAAAUCACGAGUUCAUGACCGAUUAAACGACUUCACCAAAACACAUAAACUGAAGUAAAUGUUUCCCUCCAUGCUCCAGCUGUCCGGCGUCUAUUGGCUGGGUAAAUGCACAGUCACUAAUAAAAACAAAGUCUCCAGUCAUCAGUGCGUCGCCUUUCUUCCUUUUCAAUGAGAACAAAUCCCUAAUCUCCUUCUCUAUUAACCAACCAGCAACCACAAAAGCGGCGACGAUCAGUCCAGUCUUCACUACAGUAGCUAGCUAGUUAUAAAUUAACAAGCUCCUUGCAAGAAACUAUAUCAAUCUAGCUGCAGAUAGCUUAAAGGCAACCAUUUCUCUCUUUUUUCACGACCCUUGAGAAAAAAAUGCAGAUCUUCAGCGAAGUGUUGGGAGAUACUGAUGUUCGUUUUCGGUUCUCGCUCCCAGCUCAUUGCUUACAGCAUUUAGAUUUUGCUGGAAAUAAUUAUGUUGAUUUGCAUGUUAAAGAUAGCUCUGGUGAGCUUCGAGUUAUUCGUUGCCUGAAGAGAAAUGAAGAUUAUGACAAGCCAGUGCUUUCUAAGGGCUGGCUUAAAUUUGUUGCUGAUUAUGGACUGAGAGCUGAUGACAUGGUUGUUCUUCAUCGUGAGGAUGACCAUAACCUGGGGUCACAGUUCAGGAUUGAAGCUAAGAGGAGAAUCAAGCUGUUUGGUGAGGAGGAUUGGAGUGAUGUGACAAGAGCUAACUAGCUAUUAUUUGCAUGGAGCGUGGAUGUUCGGCCAUAUCCAGAUAUGCAUAGAAGAAUGGAUUUC